This 253-nucleotide ribosomal RNA is filed under the name uncultured bacterium. RNAcentral's name for it is "partial 16S ribosomal RNA". It matches the Rfam family "Bacterial small subunit ribosomal RNA", at positions 524 to 776 of the family's 1533-position model. The record is from RNAcentral.
UACGGAGGGUCCAAGCGUUAUCCGGAUUUACUGGGUUUAAAGGGUGCGCAGGCGGAUAUGUAAGUCAGUGGUGAAAUCUCUAGGCUUAACCUGGAAAUUGCCGUUGAUACUAUAUAUCUUGAAUGCUGUGGAGGUAAGCGGAAUAUGUCAUGUAGCGGUGAAAUGCUUAGAUAUGACAUAGAACACCUAUUGCGAAGGCAGCUUACUACGCAGAUAUUGACGCUCAUGCACGAAAGCGUGGGGAUCAAACAGG